This 251-nucleotide unclassified non-coding RNA is filed under the name air metagenome. RNAcentral describes it as "partial contains small subunit ribosomal RNA, internal transcribed spacer 1, and 5.8S ribosomal RNA". The stretch from base 1 to 46 matches the Rfam family "Eukaryotic small subunit ribosomal RNA", at positions 1786 to 1831 of the family's 1831-position model. The record is from RNAcentral.
AAGUCGUAACAAGGUUUCCGUAGGUGAACCUGCGGAAGGAUCAUUACCGAGUGAGGGCCCUCUGGGUCCAACCUCCCACCCGUGUUUAUUUUACCUUGUUGCUUCGGCGGGCCCGCCUUUACUGGCCGCCGGGGGGCUCACGCCCCCGGGCCCGCGCCCGCCGAAGACACCCUCGAACUCUGUCUGAAGAUUGUAGUCUGAGUGAAAAUAUAAAUUAUUUAAAACUUUCAACAACGGAUCUCUUGGUUCCG